AAUGAACGCUGGCGGCGUGCCUAAUACAUGCAAGUCGAGCGAAAGGACGGUAAGCGCGUGUCUUUGAUGUUAGCGGGUGACGGGUGAGUAAGACAUGGAUAAGCUUCUUAUAAGACGUGGGGGACAUCGGAAGACCGGAUAUAAUAAUAGAUAAUAUUUUGUACGGGUGGGUUCAAAAGUGAUAGAGGGUUUUCGUGAUAGUUUUAGAUGAUGCCGGAUUGGCUAGUUGACUGGGUAAUGGCACACCAAGGCGACGAUCCUUAGCUGGUCUGAGAGGAUGAUCAGCCACACUGGAACUGAGACACGGUCCAGACUCCUACGGGAGGCAGCAGUGGGGAAUAUUGGACAAUGGGCGCAAGCCUGAUCCAGCCAUACCGCGUGAGUGAAGAAGGCCUUCGGGUUGUAAAGCCCUUUUGUUGGGAAAGAAAAGCAGCAGGUGAAUACCCCGCUGUUCUGACGGUACCCAAAGAAUAAGCACCGGCUAACUUCGUG
This 492-nucleotide ribosomal RNA is filed under the name uncultured bacterium. RNAcentral describes it as "partial 16S ribosomal RNA". It matches the Rfam family "Bacterial small subunit ribosomal RNA", at positions 29 to 507 of the family's 1533-position model. The record is from RNAcentral.